Molecule: ribosomal RNA, 253 nt
Filed under: uncultured bacterium
Lineage: Bacteria
Description: partial 16S ribosomal RNA
Rfam family: Bacterial small subunit ribosomal RNA
Source: RNAcentral
UACAGAGGGUGCGAGCGUUGUUCGGAAUUAUUGGGCGUAAAGCGCGUGUAGGCGGCCAAUUAAGUCGGGUGUGAAAGCCCUCAGCUCAACUGAGGAAGUGCGCCCGAGACUGGAUGGCUUGAGUGCUGGAGAGGGUGGCGGAAUUCCCCAAGUAGAGGUGAAAUUCGUAGAGAUGGGGAGGAACACCGGAGGCGAAGGCGGCCACCUGGACAGUAACUGACGCUGAGACGCGAAAGCGUGGGGAGCAAACAGG